Long non-coding RNA from Leopardus geoffroyi (Geoffroy's cat), 312 nucleotides. RefSeq lists it as uncharacterized. The transcript has 2 exons. NCBI's taxonomy places the organism in Eukaryota, Metazoa, Chordata, Mammalia, Carnivora, Felidae. The record is from RefSeq and is a predicted model, not a curated record.
GCUGUUCCAGCCUGCCGUCCCAGCCGUGGUGGGAGAGUCCUUCCCUCCCCCCCAGCGCUUUUGAGACAUUGCGCAUUUGCCAGACGGAGGAGCGUGAAGUUAAUUAUCUCAUUGCUUUAAUUUGCACUCUGGCAUCAGGAAGGGUGUGCACUGGGGGUUCCAGGAUACUCAUCAGCGCCUGGCAGGGGCCCCUCGGAUGCUUCUGGUGGACUCCAGAAACCAUCUUCCAGGUGCCCGUGAUUUGGAGAAGCGACAGUUUCUUUUGUUAGUAAAAGUUUGGUCGAGCAAUAAAACUGUUGCUAAAUUCGCAAA